UACCAUCACCCCGAGUGGUCGGGACGAUAUUGGGCCUAAAGCAUCCGUAGCCGGUUUUACAAGUCCUCCGUUAAAUCCACCUGCUUAACAGAUGGGCUGCGGAGGAUACUACAAGGCUAGGAGGCGGAAGAGGCAAGCGGUACUCAGUGGGUAGGGGUAAAAUCCUCUGAUCCAUUGAAGACCACCAGUGGCGAAGGCGGCUUGCCAAUACGCGCUCGACGGUGAGGGAUGAAAGCUGGGGGAGCAAACCGG
This 252-nucleotide ribosomal RNA is filed under the name uncultured bacterium. RNAcentral describes it as "partial 16S ribosomal RNA". It matches the Rfam family "Archaeal small subunit ribosomal RNA", at positions 474 to 727 of the family's 1478-position model. The record is from RNAcentral.